UGAGGCCAGAACUCUGCCCCUGGAGUUGACGAGGCUUUGCUGCUAUUGUACCCACUGAUAAAACCCCAAAUGGCUGGCUCCUUCUCCAAAGAUCAGAAACCAGGCUGCUCAUUUCCGGAAAAAUGCUUCGAAGAUUCCUAGAGGAGAAGCAAUGCGUGGAAAUGGUAGUGAAAAGACAGGAGGAAGGAGCUUUAAUGGUCCUUAAUGGGCAAGAAGUUAAUUUUUUGAGCCAUAGUCAUUUCCUUCAUGUUGGAAAACAGGAGUUAAUUGUGAACACAGAUGAGGAAGUGCUUCUUUGCAUGGGGAAGUCUUCUGUGAUGAAGCAUGGUAUCCAGAGGAGCUCUGCGUGGUCAUGAGAGGAAAAGAGAGAUGCUGGUCCAUGCUGUCCCCCGACUCUCCUUCUGGGCCCCACUUCAUCCAUAGAAAUUGCGGGGAGGAUGUGCGCGGCAGGUUGAGUGGUGACCCACAAAACCUGCCAGUGUGAUCUUACUUGGCGAGGGGGUCUUUGCAGAUGUAACUAAGGACUUGGAGAUGAGAAGAUCAUCCUGAAUUAUCUGGGUAGGCCUCCAAAUCCAGUGACAGAUGUCCUGAUAAAGAACACACAGAGGAGAAGAGAGACGUACAGAGGAAAAGGCAAAGGCAGAGCCAGGUGACACGAACCCAGGAAUGCUGACACCACCAGAAGGCUGCCUGGAGAAGUGACCAUCCUCUUGCUGGCAGAUCACCUGAGGCUCUGAAUUCCCUCUGCUGCCAUGCAUGGCCCACCUAUGGACAGUGGAGUGUGGUGGACAUGUAGGUAGGUCCUGAGGUCAGACUCCUCAUGCUCACACUCCAGCUCCUUUCACCUCCAACCCUGGGAGUUUCUUCAAGCUCUCUUAGCCUCAGCUUCUUCAUCUGUAAAAACUCUACUUUAUGGGUUCUUGUGAGGAUUGAAUGAGAUAAUCCAUAGAAAAUUCUUAGCACAGAGUCUAGCAGAUAGUCAACAGGCAAUGGAUAUUUGCUAUUUUUCUCACUACCACCCGUAAUUCAUGGUAUUCUGGGCCAAGUGGAAGAGCUGGCUAAUGCUCUGGCCAUCACGACCCCCAAAAUCCUUUUCAGCAUUGGUUUGGAGGGUAGCUCUGAGCACAGAGCAGAAAAAGCAGCCCAUGCUGGAAGCAAAAAGCCCCUGGUAUGGACCUGGCACAUAGUAAGUACACAAUAACUAUUAGUCACCCUCCCUGUCUUAAAAUUAUACAAUCAGCUCAAUGGCCUUCCUAUUCUCUCCUGUCAAGCCUUUGGAGUGAUGCUUAAACUGUCACCUUGGAGACAAUGUGCUCCAGGAGACAGGUUUCCAUUUUGAAUCUCUGAUGACUACACAGGCCGCCUCCAUUUUUUAAAAAAAAACAUCUUCAAAAUGUUGGGGCAACUGAAUGCCUGAAAGUUGAACAAUGGAUCCCCAUAGUAAUGACGUUGCACUCUCAGAAAGCUAAAUAUAUUAUAAAGUCCUUGAUCAUAAUUGUCCUUUUUGACAGUCCUUAACAGUGUUUUGUUACCUUUUGAAAUGAAUUUUGUUCUUUUAUUUUGCAAUUAAACACAUGACUAACUGGCUGAAGUCCAGUGAAUGGCCGAAAGAGAUUAGAGUCUCUGAAGCACUUGUAAUGGUUUCCAUCUGUGUCCAAAUAGGAUUAACUUUACAGCUUUUUAAAAAUCACUGGUAUCAGUUCAUCCAGUUUUCCAUUCUCCCGUUUUUAUGAAACAAUAAGGCAAAAACAUGCAAUUUUCAAAAACAUAUACUGUUGACCACAUAAUAAAAGGGAGCCUCCAAAACUGACCUGUUGGCUGGCAGGAUGCAUCACUGUUUCAAAGCUGGAAAUGUUUGGGUUUAGAGGAUGAAGGGCAAUUUGGGGUGUGAAGUAUGAAAGUGCUGAUUAACGUGUGAAAAAAAAUGGAGUUGAGACCCAUUUAUAUCUGCCCCUUCUUAAAUAUGACAAGAUAGAUACUAACUCCUACCAGAUGACCAAUGUGGCCUCUAAAAGGUCCUGGCUUCUGCCCAUGGCUAAGCCACUGAGAAUGCUGGCCUCAUGAUCAUGAAGCAUCUUGGUCCAACCACCUGGAAUGCCAGUGAGCAUUGCCCAGAUUGACUGGCCAUGAAGAACCAGGUGUUUCGUGCUCACUGCUGCCAACCACAGACAUGCCCAUGGCACCUGCCGGUGCUGGCUGAUGGCGAAGGGCCAGUCCUCAAUUUCAACCACAGGAGGGGCCUCACUUGCAGGCCACAGCUGAACUGUGUUGGGCCCAGGUGUUGCCUUCCCCUAAGACUCCAUUGGGAUUGGACGCACUGGAUCUUUCAAAGCUGUGUCAUCACUCAACAUGCAAACAAUGACUUUUAAUAAACUUCUGAAUUCUCA
Lynx canadensis (Canada lynx) is the source of this 2387-nucleotide long non-coding RNA. RefSeq lists it as uncharacterized. NCBI's taxonomy places the organism in Eukaryota, Metazoa, Chordata, Mammalia, Carnivora, Felidae. The record is from RefSeq and is a predicted model, not a curated record. The transcript has 2 exons.